GACGAACGCUGGCGGCGUGCUUAACACAUGCAAGUCGAACGGAAAGGCCCGGCGUUUGUUGGUUUCUCGAUUGGCGAACGGGUGAGUAACACGUGAGUAACCUGCCCUUGACUGUGUGAUAACGUCAGGAAACUCGGGCGAUAACCGGAUAGGAGCUCCUGCUGCAUGGGGGUGGUUGGAAAGUGUCGGCGGUUGGGUAUGGACUCGCUGCUUAUCAGCUUGUUGGUGUGGUAGGUGCGUACCAAGGGUUUGACGGCUAGCCGGCAUGAGAGGGUGACCGGGCACAUUGGGACUGAGAUACGGACCAGAAUCGUACGGGAGGCAGAAGUGGGGAGUAUUGCACAAUGGGCGGAAGUCUGAUGCAGAAAUGCCGCGUGCGGGAUGCCGGCCUUCGGGUUGUAAACAGAUUUCGAAUGUGAUGAAGAGAGCGUGACGGUACUGGGUAAAGAAGCAACGGCUAACUACGUG
This 468-nucleotide ribosomal RNA is filed under the name uncultured bacterium. RNAcentral's name for it is "partial 16S ribosomal RNA". It matches the Rfam family "Bacterial small subunit ribosomal RNA", at positions 28 to 507 of the family's 1533-position model. The record is from RNAcentral.